Molecule: ribosomal RNA, 494 nt
Filed under: uncultured bacterium
Lineage: Bacteria
Description: partial 16S ribosomal RNA
Rfam family: Bacterial small subunit ribosomal RNA
Source: RNAcentral
GACGAACGCUGGCGGCGUGCUUAACACAUGCAAGUCGAACGGAAAGGCCUGCUUUCCCUUGUGGAUUGCGGGUACUCGCGUGGCGAACGGGUGAGUAACACGUGAGUGAUCUGCCCCCAACUUGGGUAUAAGCCUGGGAAACUGGGUCUAAUUCCCGAUAGGACUGCAGGGUGGUGCCUGUGGUGGAAAACGAUUUUCUAGUGGUUGGGGAUGAGCUCGCGGCCUAUCAGCUUGUUGGUGGGGUAAUGGCCUACCAAGGCGGCGACGGGUAGCCGGCCUGGGGGGGUGGACGGCCACGUUGGGACGGAGAUACGGCCCAGACGCCUACGGGAGGCAGCAGUGGGGAAGAUUGCACAAUGGGCGGAAGCCUGAUGCAGCGACGCCGCGUGGGGGAUGACGGCCUUCGGGUUGUAAACUCCUUUCGACCGCGAGGAAGCCACCUGGUUGGAAGGGUGGUGACGGUAGUGGUAGAAGAAGCACCGGCUAACUACGUG